Molecule: ribosomal RNA, 253 nt
Filed under: uncultured bacterium
Lineage: Bacteria
Description: partial 16S ribosomal RNA
Rfam family: Bacterial small subunit ribosomal RNA
Source: RNAcentral
UACAGAGGGUGCAAGCGUUAAUCGGAUUUACUGGGCGUAAAGCGUGCGUAGGUGGCUCGCUAAGUCGAACGUGAAAUCCCCGGGCUCAACCCGGGAACUGCGUCCGAUACUGGCAGGCUUGAAUCCGGGAGAGGGAUGUGGAAUUCCAGGUGUAGCGGUGAAAUGCGUAGAUAUCUGGAGGAACACCGGUGGCGAAGGCGGCAUCCUGGACCGGUAUUGACGCUGAGGCGCGAAAGCCAGGGGAGCAAACGGG